Molecule: microRNA precursor, 63 nt
Filed under: Petromyzon marinus (sea lamprey)
Lineage: Eukaryota; Metazoa; Chordata; Hyperoartia; Petromyzontiformes; Petromyzontidae
Description: Pma-Mir-22-P1o3_pre stem-loop
Source: RNAcentral
AGCCCUUCGCUGGCCAGCUUUAGUUCCGGCCGAGGCGAGUAAAGCUGCCAGUUGAAGAGCUAU